Molecule: ribosomal RNA, 404 nt
Filed under: Fusobacteriota bacterium
Lineage: Bacteria; Fusobacteriati; Fusobacteriota
Description: Fusobacteria bacterium partial 16S ribosomal RNA
Rfam family: Bacterial small subunit ribosomal RNA
Source: RNAcentral
UGGGGAAUAUUGCACAAUGGAGGGAACUCUGAUGCAGCGACGCCGCGUGAGUGAUGAAGGAAUUCGUUUCGUAAAACUCUGUUCUAUGGGAAGAAAAGGACUGUACCAUAGGAGAAAGCUCCGGCUAAAUACGUGCCAGCAGCCGCGGUAAUACGUAUGGAGCGAGCGUUGUCCGGAAUUAUUGGGCGUAAAGGGUGCGCAGGCGGCUUUACAAGUUGGAUGUGAAAUAUUGUGGCUCAACCACAAACGUGCAUCCAAAACUGCAAAGCUUGAGUUAAGGAGAGGUAAGUGGAAUUCCUGGUGUAGCGGUGGAAUGCGUAGAUAUCAAGAGGAAUACCGGUGGCGAAGGCGACUUACUGGACUUAAACUGACGCUCAGGCACGAAAGCGUGGGGAGCAAACAGG